This 5294-nucleotide long non-coding RNA is filed under the name Musa acuminata (dwarf banana). RNAcentral describes it as "long non-coding RNA (MACU_LNC003111)". Lineage: Eukaryota; Viridiplantae; Streptophyta; Magnoliopsida; Zingiberales; Musaceae. The record is from RNAcentral.
UGGAAUUGGCCCUGAUAAAUUAUUAUUAGCAAGGUCGAUAAUAUGUAGAUGAUGAAGUUGUCCGAGCUCUAUAGGAAUGUUACCAAAAAACAUAUUUGAGCAUAGUCGGAGUACCUCUAGUUUUUGAAAGUUUUGUGCAAUCCAAGUAGGUAUGCUACCUGAGAAUUUAUUAUCGCCAAGAUCAAGAAAAACCAGUCCACUGCAAUUUUUCAAUGACAACGGAAGAUGCCCAUGUAGACUAUUAUUGUUUAAGUGCAAAGACCGAAGCUGAGUCAACUUUUCAAUAGAGCUAGGAAUUUCUCCCGAGAGCUUAUUAUCUGCUAGAUUAAUGUAGAAAAGGAAGUUUGUCUCUUGCCAACACCAAGGGAUUUCACCUGAUAUUUGGUUGCUCGAUAGAUCGAGGAUGCGAAGUUGUGGCAAGUUGCAGAUAAAUGAUGGUAUGCUCCCAUUGAUAUGGUUAUGUGAGAGAUCCAACAGUUCCAAUUCUAGUGGGAGAGAAAUUGAUGACAACGAUCCCGAAAAGAAAUUAUUUUGCAGAUACAAAUAACUCAAGGAAGGUGGCAAACGAGGAAUAGGGCCUUCAAGCAAAUUCAUACUUAGUUUCAGAGUGGCUAGGUUUGUCAUUUGCUCCAAGAAAGUUGGCAAAGUACCAUUAAUCUGAUUUUGGGAGAGAUUUAUAGAAAAAGCGGAAAUAUUCCAAAACCAAUCGGGCAAGACGUCCUCGAUGCUUGUGUUCGACAAAUCCAAAUCCUCAAUGGAGUUUUGUGAACGGAGCCAUCUUGGAAAUGCAGGCCCCAACUUACAAGACUUCAGUUGAAUGGAUUGGAGUUGAAAAGUGGGAACCCAAUUAUAGUCUACUGAGAUGACUAGGGAGUUUUCAGAUAGAUCGAGCUCACUUAGUUUGGUUAAGCGAGCGAAAUGGAGUUCAGACACGGUGCCCUCUAGGGAAUUACUAGAGAGAGAAAGAAUAUUGAGGUUGCAAAGCUUGCCGAUCUCAGUAGGUAACGAUCCAGAGAGUAAAUUAUUCGUGAGAUUGAUAAGUUCUAGACUAUUCAAAUUUCCAAUCUCAGUGGGUAUGGGACCAGAAAGUGAAUUAUCACUAAGAUGAAGUUCUCUUAGAUCGGCCAAAUUUCCAAUCCCAGCGGGUAUGGCACCAUGAAACAUAGAAAAACUGAGAUCAAGAUAAGAGAGUCUGUGGAGUUUCCAUAGCCAGUUGGGGAUGGUGGAGUUGAAGAGGUUGUCACUGAUGUCCAGAGUGGCCAGUGCUGUGAGGUUGACAUGGGAAAGAGAAGAGGGGAGGUCGGUGAGGCCACAGUCUGAUAAAUGUAGCUCCUCUAGUGAGGACAACAUGUUCACCGCUUGAAGCCAAUCGUGGGAGGCCAUGGAAAGGUUCACAAAGCUCAUGUCGAGGUAUCUCAAGGAAGUGAGACGCGAGAGCCAGUGCAGGCCAUCGGUCGAUAAGUCAUUGUGGCUGAGGUUGAGACGCUCCAAAUGAGUUAGCAGGAGCAAGGAUGGUCUGAUCUCACCUCCGAUAGACAUCUCAUCGUUAUCAGGGUCGGAAUUCUGGAGGUUGAGCUCCACGACAUGGCCGUUGUCACAGACCACCCCGCUCCAUCUGCAGCAGUCUACUCGGCCUUGCCAUGAUGACAAACGGCUGGAAGGAUCCUUGACGAUGCCGGUUUUGAAGUCGAGGAGGGCGUCCCUCUCGCCCUCUACGCACCCCUUCGUCGUCGGCGUUGUUGCCGCCGUGAACAAAAGAAUGCUCGUAAGCCAAAGCCCGAAAGAGAAGUGCCGUGGCACAGGGUGUGUGAUUUUGGUGCAAGAGGCCAUGAUGCUAUUUGGUGAGUGCAUAGUGUACUGAGAGAUGGUAGGCGGUGGAGGACAUGUAUAUAUAGAGUGGGUGGUGUGCGGGCGUGAUGGCCCUCCCAUCCCCAACCCAUCAUAGACUCCUGUGAAACGUGAAGAUUGAUGCGCUGGUAGCGAUAGGCAGAUAAAAAGACUUGACUUCAGUGGGAUUCGACUCCUGCUGGACCUGCAGUGCGUGCAUCGUGUAGCUUACUCAAACUUGGUUUCUACCUCGCCUGGGUCCCAACAACGAAAGAGAUUGGUACUGGAUUUUAAACUUGAAAGAUACGGCCAUUUAAUUGGCCUUGUUGGAUUGCGUAGAAUGUCUCAUUCGGCCCGAAUGCGAUAGUGUGGAAACUAAUUCAUGCCUCCCUCAUUCCACACGGUUUGAUUCUGAUGUCCGCACAUCGGAACGCAUUAUCUUCUCAGCCAAGAUAAAAUGUAUGGAGGCGAUGCAUACCUUAUUCCACGGGUCGGAAUGUCGCCACCACACGUCAAACGUCAUCACGGAAGACAACGUGGAUGAAGACUCCGACACACCGCAAACGAUUCCUCACCCAAUAUAACACGGUAAGCCAUCGCUUUACAUGUAGCGUCCUUCCGAAAGAGGGAGACUCAACGAAGUUUGUAGCGGAACGCACGCUUCGCUUUCACAUGUGUGGAAAUCUUUGUUGGGAACCCAAAGUCACGCAACAAAUUGAUUCGUUUGACACACAAGUGGUGAAGAUGAUGAGGAUUUCCCACCAUUUCUGUGAUGAAUUUUGUGGGUAAUUGUUCCCACACGAGCGAAAGAAAUGGCUGCAUUUCUUUUUAUCUCUUUCGUUUUCUACAAAAUUGCACUUAACAUUAUGCGUAGAGAUAGUCAUCGUCAACCUAGCGAUCCGUAUCUUGAUUGCUACAUAAACUUUGUCAUAUAUGUUAUCCAUAACUUGGAAGUAGAAGAUCCUCCGAUCGUCAAAAGUGUGCAAGAACCAAGAAUAGGUUUUGUUAGUUCUUGCGCGCGUAUGUAACAAGAAAGCAAAGACCGAUGGUCUUGAAAGAGAUUUGCGAACUAAUAUACUGUUCUUGGAAGGACGUGGCCAUUUAAUGGCCCUCCUCGGAUUGGGUUCCACACUGGCUCUACUCCGAAGCCUUGUUAGACCUGCCGUUCAUUGCACACAAUCUUCCGGGCUAUUACUUUGCUGCUUCAAUAAUUCGAAAAAAAGAUAAUUGAAAAUUAGAUGCAAGAGAUGUGAGUUUAAUUUAUGUUCAACAUCAUCAUCAUCACAUCUUUCAUUCUUAAUUGCGAAUUCAUAUGUAAUUUUAGACUAUAUAAAGGCCAUUCUCUGUCUUUACCCAUCGCCUCAGCCUCGGUGGGAUCCCUCCCGUGGCGGCUACCUUUCUCGCAAGCACCGCAAUGGUAGGUUGGGCUGCUCACUCUACUUGCAGUCUAUCGAGUAAACCUCGAUACGAAUCGUCGAUGCGACUUGGUGCAUCGGAAGAUGGAUUUCCGAAACGUGGAGUAAAUCUUGAUUUCGUGAUGGCAAAGGAGAGAAGCCACAUCCAAACCGUGAGAUCGUCACUGCAAAAUGCCAAAGGAACCAUGCAAUGGAUCGCCAAGGACGUCGUCGUACAACAGACAGCGAUCAUACACCCUAAAAAGAAUGGCGCAUCACAGCGCCCAACGAUCAACGUUGCGAAAUAUAAAGAACACCAUGUGAUCACCGACGACAAUGAAAAGAAUCUGUGCAGAAUGGUGAUCUUUAUAUCACACUUCGGCUAAGGAACCACUCGUAGCGAUAACUGAUAACAAUGUUAAAUCAGUGCAGUUUUGUCGUCUCCGAUGGUGCCUGUUUAUGCGAGAGAGAUCUGUGCGGUCAAUGAUGGAAGAAGAAGGAUUCCCAAACCAGACGAGUUGUUCUCGAUGCCUCCUACAUCGGAACAGAAAAAGAGUUUGAGAUUAACAUUUCAUAAUCUUCAAAACGAGAUCCUUUUUGACAGAUGAAAUGGAUCACACUUAUAACACGAAAGAAACUUGCAUCACAUUCGAUCAGCUGCGUCAUGGCAAUUUCGCAUUCUUAUCUUGAUUGCCACAUAAGCUCUGUCGUACAUCUUGUCCACCGUUGCAAAAUAGAAGAGCCUCCAAUCUUUCUUGAACAGCAUGAUCACGAACACACUCCAUAAGCCGACCAAAUAUCCGAGCCCGGUACCAAAGUAAAAUGACAGCACAUGAGAUCCUUGUUCGUACUCCUCUUCUGUCGAAUCGACGUUGGGAUCGUCGGAGCAACUCUUGGUCACCGGAGGUCCACAGAGUUGGACAUUUCCGAUAUAAAUGGAUGCAUCCUCCAGCGUCCGAAGUUGAUUCCCCGAUGGAAUCGCUCCCGAUAGAUUGUUGUAAGACAGAUUCAAGUGGUUCAGAGAAUUCAGCGCCGAAAAGCUUUGAGGAAUGACUCCGGAUAACUUAUUGAAUGACAGAUCCAGAGUUUCCAAUGAUUUCAUGGCACCAAUUGCCGCUGGAAUUUGGCCGACAAAAUUGUUUCUUGAUAGAUUUAAAGUUUGGAGUGUUGAAAGAGACCCAAUUUCGAUGGGGAUUUCUCCGGUCAAAUUAUUGUUUGAAAGGUCUAUAAUGUUGACAAGGUAAAGAAUAAUUGAAAAAUUAUAAUAUCUUCCCUUUAUAGUUAGAGCGAUGCUAUCUUCAUAUUUGUCAAAAGGCAACAAAGCAGGGCGGUCCUUUACAAAGGGACUAUAAAAUACUUGUUUGUCUCGACGAGUCAAAUGCUGUUUCCAACGAGUCAUUGCAGCAUUUAAAUUGCCAAAGGAGUGUGGAAUUGGCCCUGAUAAUUUAUUAUUAGCAAGGUCGAUAACAUGUAGAUAAGCAAGUUGCCCAAGCUCUGCAGGAAUGUUACCGGAAAACAUAUUUGAGCGUAGUCGGAGUACCUCUAGGUCUAGAAAAUUUUGUGCAAUCCACGUAGGUAUGCUACCUGAGAAUUUAUUAUUGCCAAGAUCAAGAAAAACUAGUGCACUGCAAUUUUUCAAUGAUGAUGGAAGAAGCCCAUGUAGUUUAUUAUUGUUUAAGUGGAAAGACUCAAGCCAAAUCAAAUUUUCAAUAGAGCUGGGAAUUUCUCCCGAAAGCUUAUUAUUUGCCAGAUUAAUGGAGGAAAAGUAGUUUGUCUCCUGCCAACACGAAGGGAUUUCACCUGAUAUUUGGUUGCUCGAUAGAUCGAGGAUAUCAAGUCGUCGAGUGUUGCAGAUAAAGGACGGUAUGCUCCCGUUAAUAUGGUUACGUGAGAGAUCCAAGAUUCUCAAUUCUAGUGUGGGAAAGAUCGAUGGCAAUGAUCCUGAAAAAGAAUUACAAGCCAGAUUCAAAUAACGCAAGUAAGAUAGCAAAACCAAGGAAGUUGGCAAAGUGCCGUUAAUUUGAUUUUGGGAGAGAUUUAUAAAAGAAGCAGAGUUAUUCCAAAACCAAUCAG